Molecule: ribosomal RNA, 757 nt
Filed under: archaeon enrichment culture clone AD_Archaea_1
Lineage: Archaea
Description: bacterial SSU rRNA
Rfam family: Archaeal small subunit ribosomal RNA
Source: RNAcentral
GGACAACCUGCCCUGAGGACUGGAAUAAUCCCGGGAAACUGGGGGUAAUUCCAGAUAUGUCAGAACUCCUGGAAUGGGUUCUGGCAGAAAGGCUCCGGCGCCUCAGGAUGGGUCUGCGGCCUAUCAGGUAGUAGUGGGUGUAGCGUACCUACUAGCCUACGACGGGUACGGGUUGUGAGAGCAAGAGCCCGGAGAUGGAUUCUGAGACAUGAAUCCAGGCCCUACGGGGCGCAGCAGGCGCGAAAACUUUACAAUGCUGGCAACAGCGAUAAGGGGACCUCGAGUGCUGGGUUACAAACCUGGCUGUUGGGCUGCCUAAAAAGCAGUCUAUAGCAAGGGCCGGGCAAGACCGGUGCCAGCCGCCGCGGUAACACCGGCGGCUCGAGUGGUAACCGUUAUUAUUGGGUCUAAAGGGUCUGUAGCCGGCCGGAUAAGUCUCUUGGGAAAUCUGGCAGCUCAACUGUCAGGCUUUCAGGAGAUACUGUCUGGCUCGAGGCCGGGAGAGGUGAGAGGUACUUCAGGGGUAGGGGUGAAAUCUUGUAAUCCUUGAAGGACCACCAGUGGCGAAGGCGUCUCACCAGAACGGACCUGACGGCAAGGGACGAAAGCUAGGGGCACGAACCGGAUUAGAUACCCGGGUAGUCCUAGCCGUAAACGAUACUCGCUAGGUGUCGGCCACGGUGCGACCGUGGUCGGUGCCGUAGGGAAGCCGUGAAGCGAGCCACCUGGGAAGUACGGCCGCAAGGCUGAAACUUAA